GGGUUGUGAGGUUAAGCGACUAAGCGUACACGGUGGAUGCCCUGGCAGUCAGAGGCGAUGAAGGACGUGCUAAUCUGCGAUAAGCGUCGGUAAGGUGAUAUGAACCGUUAUAACCGGCGAUUUCCGAAUGGGGAAACCCAGUGUGUUUCGACACACUAUCAUUAACUGAAUCCAUAGGUUAAUGAGGCGAACCGGGGGAACUGAAACAUCUAAGUACCCCGAGGAAAAGAAAUCAACCGAGAUUCCCCCAGUAGCGGCGAGCGAACGGGGAGCAGCCCAGAGCCUGAAUCAGUGUGUGUGUUAGUGGAAGCGUCUGGAAAGGCGCGCGAUACAGGGUGACAGCCCCGUACACAAAAAUGCACAUACUGUGAGCUCGAUGAGUAGGGCGGGACACGUGGUAUCCUGUCUGAAUAUGGGGGGACCAUCCUCCAAGGCUAAAUACUCCUGACUGACCGAUAGUGAACCAGUACCGUGAGGGAAAGGCGAAAAGAACCCCGGCGAGGGGAGUGAAAAAGAACCUGAAACCGUGUACGUACAAGCAGUGGGAGCCUCUUAAUGGGGUGACUGCGUACCUUUUGUAUAAUGGGUCAGCGACUUAUAUUCUGUAGCAAGGUUAACCGAAUAGGGGAGCCGAAGGGAAACCGAGUCUUAACUGGGCGUUAAGUUGCAGGGUAUAGACCCGAAACCCGGUGAUCUAGCCAUGGGCAGGUUGAAGGUUGGGUAACACUAACUGGAGGACCGAACCGACUAAUGUUGAAAAAUUAGCGGAUGACUUGUGGCUGGGGGUGAAAGGCCAAUCAAACCGGGAGAUAGCUGGUUCUCCCCGAAAGCUAUUUAGGUAGCGCCUCGUGAAUUCAUCUCCGGGGGUAGAGCACUGUUUCGGCAAGGGGGUCAUCCCGACUUACCAACCCGAUGCAAACUGCGAAUACCGGAGAAUGUUAUCACGGGAGACACACGGCGGGUGCUAACGUCCGUCGUGAAGAGGGAAACAACCCAGACCGCCAGCUAAGGUCCCAAAGUCAUGGUUAAGUGGGAAACGAUGUGGGAAGGCCCAGACAGCCAGGAUGUUGGCUUAGAAGCAGCCAUCAUUUAAAGAAAGCGUAAUAGCUCACUGGUCGAGUCGGCCUGCGCGGAAGAUGUAACGGGGCUAAACCAUGCACCGAAGCUGCGGCAGCGACACUAUGUGUUGUUGGGUAGGGGAGCGUUCUGUAAGCCUGUGAAGGUGUACUGUGAGGUAUGCUGGAGGUAUCAGAAGUGCGAAUGCUGACAUAAGUAACGAUAAAGCGGGUGAAAAGCCCGCUCGCCGGAAGACCAAGGGUUCCUGUCCAACGUUAAUCGGGGCAGGGUGAGUCGACCCCUAAGGCGAGGCCGAAAGGCGUAGUCGAUGGGAAACAGGUUAAUAUUCCUGUACUUGGUGUUACUGCGAAGGGGGGACGGAGAAGGCUAUGUUGGCCGGGCGACGGUUGUCCCGGUUUAAGCGUGUAGGCUGGUUUUCCAGGCAAAUCCGGAAAAUCAAGGCUGAGGCGUGAUGACGAGGCACUACGGUGCUGAAGCAACAAAUGCCCUGCUUCCAGGAAAAGCCUCUAAGCAUCAGGUAACAUCAAAUCGUACCCCAAACCGACACAGGUGGUCAGGUAGAGAAUACCAAGGCGCUUGAGAGAACUCGGGUGAAGGAACUAGGCAAAAUGGUGCCGUAACUUCGGGAGAAGGCACGCUGAUAUGUAGGUGAAGUCCCUCGCGGAUGGAGCUGAAAUCAGUCGAAGAUACCAGCUGGCUGCAACUGUUUAUUAAAAACACAGCACUGUGCAAACACGAAAGUGGACGUAUACGGUGUGACGCCUGCCCGGUGCCGGAAGGUUAAUUGAUGGGGUUAGCGGUAACGCGAAGCUCUUGAUCGAAGCCCCGGUAAACGGCGGCCGUAACUAUAACGGUCCUAAGGUAGCGAAAUUCCUUGUCGGGUAAGUUCCGACCUGCACGAAUGGCGUAAUGAUGGCCAGGCUGUCUCCACCCGAGACUCAGUGAAAUUGAACUCGCUGUGAAGAUGCAGUGUACCCGCGGCAAGACGGAAAGACCCCGUGAACCUUUACUAUAGCUUGACACUGAACAUUGAGCCUUGAUGUGUAGGAUAGGUGGGAGGCUUUGAAGUGUGGACGCCAGUCUGCAUGGAGCCGGCCUUGAAAUACCACCCUUUAAUGUUUGAUGUUCUAACGUUGGCCCCUGAUCGGGGUUGCGGACAGUGUCUGGUGGGUAGUUUGACUGGGGCGGUCUCCUCCUAAAGAGUAACGGAGGAGCACGAAGGUUGGCUAAUCCUGGUCGGACAUCAGGAGGUUAGUGCAAUGGCAUAAGCCAGCUUGACUGCGAGCGUGACGGCGCGAGCAGGUGCGAAAGCAGGUCAUAGUGAUCCGGUGGUUCUGAAUGGAAGGGCCAUCGCUCAACGGAUAAAAGGUACUCCGGGGAUAACAGGCUGAUACCGCCCAAGAGUUCAUAUCGACGGCGGUGUUUGGCACCUCGAUGUCGGCUCAUCACAUCCUGGGGCUGAAGUAGGUCCCAAGGGUAUGGCUGUUCGCCAUUUAAAGUGGUACGCGAGCUGGGUUUAGAACGUCGUGAGACAGUUCGGUCCCUAUCUGCCGUGGGCGCUGGAGAACUGAGGGGGGCUGCUCCUAGUACGAGAGGACCGGAGUGGACGCAUCACUGGUGUUCGGGUUGUCAUGCCAAUGGCACUGCCCGGUAGCUAAAUGCGGAAGAGAUAAGUGCUGAAAGCAUCUAAGCACGAAACUUGCCCCGAGAUGAGUUCUCCCUGACCCUUUAAGGGUCCUGAAGGAACGUUGAAGACGACGACGUUGAUAGGCCGGGUGUGUAAGCGCAGCGAUGCGUUGAGCUAACCGGUACUAAUGAACCGUGAGGCUUAACCUUACAACGCCGAAGGUGUUU
This 2931-nucleotide ribosomal RNA is filed under the name Escherichia coli. RNAcentral describes it as "23S ribosomal RNA". It matches the Rfam family "Bacterial large subunit ribosomal RNA". The record is from RNAcentral. Lineage: Bacteria; Pseudomonadati; Pseudomonadota; Gammaproteobacteria; Enterobacterales; Enterobacteriaceae.